This 253-nucleotide long non-coding RNA is filed under the name Elaeis guineensis (African oil palm). RNAcentral's name for it is "long non-coding RNA (EGUI_LNC067286)". The record is from RNAcentral. Lineage: Eukaryota; Viridiplantae; Streptophyta; Magnoliopsida; Arecales; Arecaceae.
GUGGGUUCUAGGGUUUCAUCUCUAGGUUUUGUGAGAAGAAAAAUACAAGAGUGAGUCUUGUCCAAUCUUUUACACCACCACCUUCUCAUAAAGCUUCAUCUUCUGAUCUAGAGGAGUCUAGGAGAUCCAAAGAAAGGAGCUUGGCAGCCAUCCAGAGCCUUCGACGUGAGCUAACACUCCCUCGAAGAAAGAUCUAAUUAGAGCUUCGAGUGGAUGAUCUGUAGAGGCCGGACGACUUGUGCGGUUACUCGGU